GGAAUAUUAUACUUUCUUACGCACUGGACUAAGGUCUGACGGAGCACUGCCGCGUGAGAGACGAAUGGUUUCGGAUCGUAAAAAUUAGUUGCGGGGAAGAACACGUGCCAGGUAACUACUGGUACCUUGACCGUCCCUCACCUCAAAGCCACCGCUAAGUACUUGCCAACUUCCGGGGCAAUACCUGGGUUGAUGGCGUUGUCCGGAAUUAUUGGGUGUCGAGUGCGCGCAGGCGGUCCCUUAAGUCUGAUGUGAAAACCCACGGGUCUACCGUGGAGGGUCCUUGGAUACUGGGGGACUUGAUUGCAGAACAAGAAAGUGGAAUUCCAUGGGUACCGGUGAAAUGCAUAGAGAUGUGGACUAACUCCCUUGGCCAACGCCAGUUUCCGGUCUGUACUGACGCUGAGCUUAUUAAAGAGUGAGGAGCAAACAGGAUUAGAUACCCUGGUAGGCCUCGCCGCAUACUAUGAGUGCUAAGUAUUACGCGGUCUCCGCCCCUUAGUGCUGCAUGUACCGCAUUAUGCACCUCGCCUGGGGAGUACGGCCGCUAGGCUGAAACUCAAAUGAAUUGACGG
Molecule: ribosomal RNA, 575 nt
Filed under: uncultured bacterium
Lineage: Bacteria
Description: bacterial SSU rRNA
Rfam family: Bacterial small subunit ribosomal RNA
Source: RNAcentral